CGGGGCGUAGCGCAGCCCGGUUAGCGCGCGUCGUUCGGGACGACGAGGUCGCCGGUUCAAAUCCGGCCGCCCCGA
Molecule: transfer RNA, 75 nt
Filed under: Fodinibius roseus
Lineage: Bacteria; Pseudomonadati; Balneolota; Balneolia; Balneolales; Balneolaceae
Also listed under: 1 other name
Description: Aliifodinibius roseus tRNA
Rfam family: tRNA
About the family: Transfer RNA (tRNA) molecules are approximately 80 nucleotides in length. Their secondary structure includes four short double-helical elements and three loops (D, anti-codon, and T loops).
Source: Rfam by way of RNAcentral